Long non-coding RNA from Homo sapiens (human), 1281 nucleotides. Ensembl annotates it as Pvt1 oncogene. Its record names the gene PVT1. Lineage: Eukaryota; Metazoa; Chordata; Mammalia; Primates; Hominidae. The record is from Ensembl.
GAGUAGCUGGUAUUACAGGCGUGUGCCACAAAGCCUGGCUAAGUUUUGUAUUUUUAGUAGAGACGGGGUUUCACCAUGUUGGCCAGGUUGGUCUCGAACUCCUGACCUCAAGUGAUCCACUCACUUUGGCCUUUCAACGUGCUGGGAUUACAGGCGAGAGUCACCGCACCCGGACGACUCUGACAUUUUUGAAGAGUCCAGAAUCCUGUUACACCUGGGAUUUAGGCACUUUCAAUCUGAAAAAAUACAUAUCCUUUCAGCACUCUGGACGGACUUGAGAACUGUCCUUACGUGACCUAAAGCUGGAGUAUUUUGAGAUUGGAGAAUUAAGGCCAACAGAGAUUUUGAGAAACACAUUGAAGGAUCUGUUAACACUUGAUAUACCCAAUAAAAGCAGUGGUUGUGCCAGUGCUGAUCUGUCUUGAUGUGAAUGUGAACAAUGGGAACCUGAGCUGAGCAGUUAAUGCUAGGGUGACAGAAACUGGACCUCUCCCAAGACAUGUGACAGAGUAAUACAGCAGCCAACUUCUUCGCCAAAUUAAAGUUUUACAAGAUUUAACCUGUCAUCAAGACCUGGGAUUUUGGUGAGCCAGUCUUGGUGCUCUGUGUUCACCUGGUUCAUCUGAGGAGCUGCAUCUACCCUGCCCAUGCCAUAGAUCCUGCCCUGUUUGCUUCUCCUGUUGCUGCUAGUGGACAUGAGGUUUGGGUAACUCCACGCAAGACUGUCUUUACCUGCCUUUGCAAAACUUUGUGGUUUCUGCUCUGAAUGUCAGGGUAACCCUGUCUGAGGAUGAUCACGGAUUUCAUUUUCCCUUGUUUGUUAGCGUUGCGGUCAGCCGCAAGUUGAAAACAAGGAACCAGCUUGAGAAGGACAGAAUAACGGGCUCCCAGAUUCACAAGCCCCACCAAGAGGAUCACCCCAGGAACGCUUGGAGGCUGAGGAGUUCACUGAGGCUACUGCAUCUUGAGACUCAGGAUGAAGACCCAGCUUGGGGCUGUCAAAGGUUUUUUGCAUGUCUGACACCCAUGACUCCACCUGGACCUUAUGGCUCCACCCAGAAGCAAUUCAGCCCAACAGGAGGACAGCUUCAACCCAUUACGAUUUCAUCUCUGCCCCAACCACUCAGCAGCAAGCACCUGUUACCUGUCCACCCCCACCCCUUCCCCCAAACUGCCUUUGAAAAAUCCCUAACCUAUGAGCUUUGAAUAAGAUGAGUACGAACUUCAUCGCCCACGUGGCGUGGCCGGCCUCGUGUCUAUUAAAUUCUUUUUCUACUACAA